GACGAACGCUGGCGGCGUGCUUAACACAUGCAAGUCGAACGGAAAGGCCCUGCUUUUGUGGGGUGCUCGAGUGGCGAACGGGUGAGUAACACGUGAGUAACCUGCCCUUGACUUUGGGAUAACUUCAGGAAACUGGGGCUAAUACCGGAUAGGAGCUCCUGCUGCAUGGUGGUGGUUGGAAAGUUUCGGCGGUUGGGGAUGGACUCGCGGCUUAUCAGCUUGUUGGUGGGGUAGUGGCUUACCAAGGCUUUGACGGGUAGCCGGCCUGAGAGGGUGACCGGCCACAUUGGGACUGAGAUACGGCCCAGACUCCUACGGGAGGCAGCAGUGGAGAAUAUUGCACAAUGGGCGGAAGCCUGAUGCAGCAACGCCGCGUGCGGGAUGACGGCCUUCGGGUUGUAAACCGCUUUCGCCUGUGACGAAGCGUGAGUGACGGUAAUGGGUAAAGAAGCACCGGCUAACUACGUG
This 468-nucleotide ribosomal RNA is filed under the name uncultured bacterium. Its description in RNAcentral is "partial 16S ribosomal RNA". It matches the Rfam family "Bacterial small subunit ribosomal RNA", at positions 28 to 507 of the family's 1533-position model. The record is from RNAcentral.